UGGGGGAUAUUGCACAAUGGGCGAAAGCCUGAUGCAGCGACGCCGCGUGGGGGAUGAAGGCCUUCGGGUUGUAAACUUCUUUUGCUCUGAACAAGGCGCACCAUAGGGUGUGUUGAGUGUAGGGGUUGAUUAGCGCCGGCUAACUACGUGCCAGCAGCCGCGGUAAUACGUAGGGCGCGAGCGUUGUCCGGAAUUAUUGGGCGUAAAGGGCUUGUAGGUGGCUGGUUGCGUCUGUCGUGAAAGCUCAUGGCUUAACUGUGGGUUUGCGGUGGGUACGGGCUGGCUUGAGUGCAGUAGGGGAGGCUGGAAUUCCUGGUGUAGCGGUGGAAUGCGCAGAUAUCAGGAGGAAUACCGGUGGCGAAGGCGGGUCUCUGGGCUGUUACUGACACUGAGGAGCGAAAGCAUGGGGAGCGAACAGG
RNAcentral lists this ribosomal RNA (419 nucleotides) under bacterium. RNAcentral's name for it is "partial 16S ribosomal RNA". It matches the Rfam family "Bacterial small subunit ribosomal RNA", at positions 355 to 776 of the family's 1533-position model. The record is from RNAcentral.